Long non-coding RNA from Acanthopagrus latus (yellowfin seabream), 347 nucleotides. RefSeq lists it as uncharacterized. The transcript has 2 exons. NCBI's taxonomy places the organism in Eukaryota, Metazoa, Chordata, Actinopteri, Spariformes, Sparidae. The record is from RefSeq and is a predicted model, not a curated record.
CUUGUGUAUUUGUGUCUGCCUGAUUGUGGUGUCCUUGUAUUUAAUACAGCCACAGAAUGAAAAUGAGGGAAGUCAAGUUCCUGGUCCAAGUUCAUCCAGCUCUGCUCGACCUGAACUCUGCGCUGCCUCUGCCGUCUUCAGUCAAGCGACAUUCAAUCCAUCUUUGGCUCAACUCUGACGUUGAAAGCGGAGGUGCUUUGGAUUUUGAACACCGUUGCUAAACAUUUUGGCAACAGAUUUGGAUGCAAAAAGCUGGUUAAGUUUGAAAAGAAAUUCUGGGACUGCACCUUUCCUUACUUUUGAAAAUAAAGAGUUGCAAAUAAACAAUAAAAGAAAUCAUUCUGUGA